This 444-nucleotide ribosomal RNA is filed under the name uncultured bacterium. RNAcentral describes it as "SSU rRNA". It matches the Rfam family "Bacterial small subunit ribosomal RNA", at positions 26 to 518 of the family's 1533-position model. The record is from RNAcentral.
AGAGCGAACGCUGGCGGCAGGCCUAACACAUGCAAGUCGAGCGCCCCGCAAGGGGAGCGGCAGACGGGAGAGUAACACGUGGGAACGUACCCUUUGGUUCGGAACAACACAGGGAAACUUGUGCUAAUACCGGAUAAGCCCUUACGGGGAAGGAUUUAUUGCCAAAGGAUCGGCCCGCGUCUGAUUAGCUUGUUGGUGAGGUAACGGCUCACCAAGGCUACGAUCAGUAGCUGGUCUGAGAGGAUGAUCAGCCUCACUGGGACUGAGACACGGCCCAGACUCCUACGGGAGGCAGCAGUGGGGAAUAUUGGACAAUGGGCGCAAGCCUGAUCCAGCCAUGCCGCGUGGAUGAUGAAGGCCCUAGGGUUGUAAAGUCCUUUCGACGGGGAAGAUAAUGACGGUACCCGUAGAAGAAGCCCCGGCUAACUUCGUGCCAGUAGCCGC